Molecule: ribosomal RNA, 329 nt
Filed under: uncultured eukaryote
Lineage: Eukaryota
Description: partial 18S ribosomal RNA
Rfam family: Eukaryotic small subunit ribosomal RNA
Source: RNAcentral
CCCUUAGAUGUUCUGGGCCGCACGCGCGCUACACUGACGAUGGCAACGAGUUUUUCCUUCGCCGAAAGGUGUGGGUAAUCUUUUGAAACAUCGUCGUGCUGGGGAUAGAUCAUUGUAAUUUUUGAUCUUGAACGAGGAAUUCCUAGUAAGCGCGAGUCAUCAGCUCGCGUUGAUUACGUCCCUGCCCUUUGUACACACCGCCCGUCGCUACUACCGAUUGAAUGGUUUAGUGAGGACUCCUGAUUGGCGCCGCCGCCCCGGCAACGGAGCAGCGGACUGCCGAAAAGUUGUUCAAACUUGAUCAUUUAGAGGAAGUAAAAGUCGUAACA